GCCAGUGUGGCAUAGUGGUUUGAGCGCUGGACUACAACUCUAGAGACCAGGGUUGGAUUCCUCGCUCAAGGCU
Phrynosoma platyrhinos (Desert horned lizard) is the source of this 73-nucleotide non-coding RNA. NCBI's taxonomy places the organism in Eukaryota, Metazoa, Chordata, Lepidosauria, Squamata, Phrynosomatidae. The record is from the annotation of a GenBank genome assembly.